CAACCUGCCUGUAAGACUGGGAUAACUUCGGGAAACCGGAGCUAAUACCGGAUAAUCCUUUUCCUUUCAUGAGGAAAAGCUGAAAGACGGUUUCGGCUGUCACUUACAGAUGGGCCCGCGGCGCAUUAGCUAGUUGGUGAGGUAACGGCUCACCAAGGCGACGAUGCGUAGCCGACCUGAGAGGGUGAUCGGCCACGCUGGGACUGAGACACGGCCCAGACUCCUACGGGAGGCAGCAGUAGGGAAUCUUCCGCAAUGGACGAAAGUCUGACGGAGCAACGCCGCGUGAGUGAUGAAGGCCUUCGGGUCGUAAAGCUCUGUUGUUAGGAAGAACAGUACUCGACGUACUGCCGGUACCUUGACGGUACCUAACCAGAAAGCCACGGCUAACUACGUG
This 397-nucleotide ribosomal RNA is filed under the name uncultured bacterium. RNAcentral's name for it is "bacterial SSU rRNA". It matches the Rfam family "Bacterial small subunit ribosomal RNA", at positions 122 to 507 of the family's 1533-position model. The record is from RNAcentral.